UACGUAGGGGGCGAGCGUUGUCCGGAUUUAUUGGGCGUAAAGAGCUCGUAGGCGGUUUGGUAAGUCAGGUGUGAAAUCUCCACGCUCAACGUGGAGGGGCCACCUGAUACUGCCAUGACUGGAGUCCGGUAGAGGAGUGUGGAAUUCCCGGUGUAGCGGUGAAAUGCGCAGAUAUCGGGAGGAACACCCGUAGCGAAGGCGGCACUCUGGGCCGGUACUGACGCUGAGGAGCGAAAGCGUGGGUAGCAAACAGG
This 254-nucleotide ribosomal RNA is filed under the name uncultured bacterium. Its description in RNAcentral is "partial 16S ribosomal RNA". It matches the Rfam family "Bacterial small subunit ribosomal RNA", at positions 524 to 776 of the family's 1533-position model. The record is from RNAcentral.